Caenorhabditis elegans is the source of this 146-nucleotide non-coding RNA. Lineage: Eukaryota; Metazoa; Nematoda; Chromadorea; Rhabditida; Rhabditidae. The record is from Ensembl.
CCUUCUCCUCCUCAUCCCCUUCUCAUGCACCAUCAUCACCAUCACCGGCUGUCUUCCGUGAUGUGAGGUGUCUGUCUCUCGUCUCACUCACACAUGCGCAUCAUAGGGCACCGACGCAAAAAAGUGUCAAAAACGAUUUAUUGUCU